This 610-nucleotide ribosomal RNA is filed under the name Entoloma stylophorum. RNAcentral describes it as "partial large subunit ribosomal RNA". It matches the Rfam family "Eukaryotic large subunit ribosomal RNA", at positions 62 to 655 of the family's 3401-position model. Lineage: Eukaryota; Fungi; Basidiomycota; Agaricomycetes; Agaricales; Entolomataceae. The record is from RNAcentral.
AAACUAACAAGGAUUCCCCUAGUAACUGCGAGUGAAGCGGGAAAAGCUCAAAUUUAAAAUCUGGUGGUCUUUGGCCAUCCGAGUUGUAAUCUAGAGAAGCAUUAUCCGUGCUGGACCGUGUAUAAGUCUCCUGGAAUGGAGCGUCAUAGAGGGUGAGAAUCCCGUCUUUGACACGGAUUACCAGUGCAUUGUGAUACGCUCUCAAAGAGUCGAGUUGUUUGGGAAUGCAGCUCUAAAUGGGUGGUAAGUUCCAUCUAAAGCUAAAUAUUGGCGAGAGACCGAUAGCGAACAAGUACCGUGAGGGAAAGAUGAAAAGAACUUUGGAAAGAGAGUUAAACAGUACGUGAAAUUGUUGAAAGGGAAACGCUUAAAGUCAGUCGCAUCGGCUAGGGAUCAACCUUGCUUYUGCUUGGUGCACUUCCUGGUUGAUGGGUCAGCAUCAAUUUUGACCAGUGGAAAAAGUUCAAGGGAAUGUGGCAUCUUCGGAUGUGUUAUAGCCUUUGUUCGCAUACAUUGGUUGGGAUUGAGGAAUUCAGCACGCCGCAAGGCCGGGUUUUCAACCACGUUCGUGCUUAGGAUGCUGGCAUAAUGGCUUUAAUCGACCCGUCUU